GACGAACGCUGGCGGCGUGCUUAACACAUGCAAGUCGAACGGAAAGGCCCUGCUUGCAGGGUACUCGAGUGGCGAACGGGUGAGUAACACGUGGGUGAUCUGCCCUGCACUUCGGGAUAAGCCUGGGAAACUGGGUCUAAUACCGGAUAGGAGCCAUUUUUAGUGUGAUGGUUGGAAAGUUUUUUUCGGUGUAGGAUGAGCUCGCGGCCUAUCAGCUUGUUGGUGGGGUAAUGGCCUACCAAGGCGGCGACGGGUAGCCGGCCUGAGAGGGUGGACGGCCACAUUGGGACUGAGAUACGGCCCAGACUCCUACGGGAGGCAGCAGUGGGGAAUAUUGCACAUUGGGCGCAAGCCUGAUGCAGCGACGCCGCGUGGGGGAUGACGGCCUUCGGGUUGUAAACUCCUUUCGCUAGGGACGAAGCUUUUUGUGACGGUACCUAGAUAAGAAGCACCGGCUAACUACGUG
RNAcentral lists this ribosomal RNA (466 nucleotides) under uncultured bacterium. RNAcentral's name for it is "partial 16S ribosomal RNA". It matches the Rfam family "Bacterial small subunit ribosomal RNA", at positions 28 to 507 of the family's 1533-position model. The record is from RNAcentral.